Non-coding RNA from Tetranychus urticae (two-spotted spider mite), 1011 nucleotides. The record is from RefSeq and is a predicted model, not a curated record. NCBI's taxonomy places the organism in Eukaryota, Metazoa, Arthropoda, Arachnida, Trombidiformes, Tetranychidae.
CAAAGAUUUAAAAUUUUUGCAGAACGUAUUUAUUGUUGAUUAAAGUUAAAUUGUCUAACUAGUAUGGAAUCAGGUUUGGUCGAGAUAUCUAAUGAAGUUUUGUCUAGGCCCAAAGUUAAAGGAUUCAUGGCAAUUGAUAACAAAGGCUUGUGUUUACAAUCUGAAGGAAUCAAUGAAAAUCUUUCCGGAAUCUUUUCUGCCAUUGCAAAUUCGGCCAAAUUAUUAGACACAGAAGAUGACCCAGUAGUAGAAUUGGAAACGGAUAAAGGACGUAUUCUUAUUCAAGGCAAAGGAAAUGUUGUUACAACAAUUUAUAAAACUAAAUAAACCUGAUGUUUAAAGCAUGUACAUCAAUAUUUUUCAAACAAAACUCGCUUAUUAUUGAACCAUCGAUGAGCCUCUAUCUACAUGUACUCCUUUCUACAAAUAUGGUCUACUCAUUUCGACUGUGCUCAACCAUUUCGUAUAUUCAACUGUCACUCCAUCACUACCAAAUUUAUCUGCACUCUCAUCAUAUGGCGUCUCUUCAGUGUCAUUAGAUUGUUCAUCACACAUCAAUAUGAUUGCUAAACAUUGCCAUUCCAAAGUUAAAAAGAUUGAUUUUCUAGACUCCAUGAAAAGUUAAUGUUGUAAGACAAUGAUGCUGAAGCAGUGUCAUCUUGAUUCGCAUGUUGCUAAUUGCAGCUCUUCAUCAUCAAAGAUUUCACCGACAUUUGAAAACCUGAAUAAUGAAAUUUCAGUUAAAAUCGAUGACAACUCUGAUAAGAAUGCUCGUUUUGUUGAUGCUGGCUCAUCUGUUCCUGUCAAAUGGUUUCCAGUAUGACCGUUUAAUGAAACAAAAAUUUUUGAACAAAUUGUAAUAGCAAUGACUCACAGAAUCUCAGAAAAUUAGAACCUGAGUAAAUUAUAAUACCAUUGUAAAUAGAAAUGCUCGUCUUUUUGAUACCGGUUAAUCUCAAAAUGAAUAAUCAAAACAAUGUAAAUUUAUAAUAAAGAAAAUUAUUUAUUGAA